UGAAAGCACAAUGAACAUCUCCUAUAAUUUAUGUUCAUUUGCAUUUUUUCUCAGUUUCUCUGACAUAGAUUUGAUACCAGCAUCAAGGCUAGCUUUGAAAUCUUCUUGCUCCCUAUUCUGCUUUAUCGUAUAUCGAUUCUCAUUUUAUUUCUCACGAGUAAAAUUUGCUUUCUAUCAAGUCAAUGAAAUCGAAUGGAGUUAAUGAAUAUGCUGUCAUUAAUGAAUUGCAGAUUGUUACUAAAAAAAUGUUCUUUUUUUUUUCUUGCUCUAUUCAAGUCAGUUUCCUUUGAAGUAUGAAGUGAUUUCAUCAUUCAAGUGAAAGGAAGCAGAUAUUUGCUUCACAAGGUACACUCAUAAAGUUCCUCACAGAUUCCAAUUGUCACAGGGUUUCCACUUCUGUCAAAGUGUUUAAGGCUGCAGACGCUCUGCAGUGGAGUUGAGGCAUUCGAGCACGGCACAAAAUUCUGCUAUGGAAUCAAAAUUACCCUCAAUGCCAUUGUAUAAAGCACGAAGAAAUUCUACCCCGCGGCAUCGCGCGGGUUCUCAUUCCUAGUGAGAACAGAGAGGUGGUGUUUGGGGGUAAAGAUGAAAUAUCCUCACUGAACAAGGAUAUAAUUAAAGAUGAAACUCGUGAUGCUACACAUGCUUCUAGUCGAGUGGGAAGCAUGCUUAUCCCAUAAAAUUAAAAUCUUUUACCUGCACUGUGUUUGUUUUUCCUUUUCUCUGUAGUUUGUAUAUUUGCUGUUUCUAUCUAGCCAAAAGUGCCAACCUUGGUAUUACUCCUCACUUUUUUUGUUUUUUAUUUAUUUUUAUAUUUUUAUAUUUGGAAUUAAAAACACAAUUAAAUGGUUAAUUAAGUAGAAAAGAUGGUUAUGGAGUAUUGGAUGGCAUCUAGUGCUAAACUAAUAAGCAUAUUACGGGAUUAAAAAUAUCCGUCACUGAGUUGAGAGGGAAGGAUCGAGGAAGACAGUAGUUCUUUCUGUUGUCUGGUUCCAAGAACCUUCAGCUCCAUGAUAAGGAGCAAUUAUAAUUCCAAUGUUCCAGUGCAAUAAGCCAUUCAAGGGGUAGAAGGGGAAAUACUUAAUUGUGGAAUACAAGGGGUGCAACAGUAGAUCACUUUGUAUUUGAAGGCUAACUUUCCUUGUCCAACCCUUCUAUACUUGCAUUUUGUUCUUCCCUCCAUGAUAAAUUGUGGAAUACUUGAUUUAAAUCAAGAUUAAAUUUGUGAAAACUUAUUGGAAUGUAGAUUUUACAUUAACAGGUGUAUGACUUAUUCCACUGAGAAAAUAGAAAACGGGGAUGGGGGAAAAGCUAGUUCUCUUGAAAUGGGACAUGAUGAAUAUAACAUUAUUUUGUUAGACGAAGAGUAAAUAUUCUGCGUCAACGUUUAGACUAUGAAGAUACAUAAUUGCUCUUAAGUCGGUCUUGCCGCACCUUAUCUGUGUAUCUGUUGGUCUUUUUACUAGGUAAAAACCCUUAUGCAAUGUCUGUCUUAAGACGAGUUGAGAUGAAACUAGAUGGUCGAGAUAUAUCCAACAACAGAGAAAUUAGUAUCUCCGAACAAGUGGACUAUCUACUUAAGCAAGCCACUAGUGUAGACAAUCUUUGCAACAUGUAUGAAGGUUGGACACCAUGGAUUUGAACUUGUGAAGCUACUGCCUUCUAUAUGUAUGAGGCGGAUUAAUUGAGAAUGGGGUUGGUUACACCGGGCAAGGGAUUAAUUGCUUCAGCAAUCCCGUCUCUUUUGGCAUCAUAUCUCCUGAUCAUUUAAAUGAGCAAUGGUGAUUAUUUCAUAAGAAAUUGGCCGUCAAUGUCUAAUAGCUGCAGUUGUUGGUGAUAUCUGGUUCAUUAGACCUUGCCUUUCUGCAAUGGCCAGCUGUGUCUUUGGUGGAGGAUAACUUGAAAUUUUUCAAGUGUUAUCUCCCUCUAAAUUGUGGUGUCUUGGGUGAGAUUAUGCAUGUCGCACGAGAAGUAGUCUCAUGUGGAACACUGGAACUCGUGUUGGUUCGUAUUUGGUGAUUGCUAAGCAGUCUUCCCUGCUUUAAUGCCCUAUAAAGAUGGUACAACUUCGCAGCCACCAUUGUGGCAGAUUGGCAGGAGAAUGCCAUGCGAAGCACUUUGAAGAAAAUUUCAGAUUUUAGCAGCGAGGUGGCCUGGUGUAACACAGUUGUCCGUCUGAGUUCAAUUCUCAGUAUCAUGAGAAGCACUGCCACUGCCCACAAGGAGUCUGUAUCACAAGUUUACUACCAAUGCAAUCAGCUCACUUUUGCACAGGUUGCAUUUGGUUUAGAAGAUCUUACCUCAGCAUACAGGAAUAUCAGAAGUAUCAAACAUCCACAAUAUAGGAAAUUCUUGAUUUCGUCAAUGACAUCUGCCGACCACCUCUUCCUUUCUAGUCUGAGAAUUUCUUUGUUUGAUAAUAAGUUAAGAAUGUAGCAUUCUUAUUAAAGAGAGGUCAAUUGCUAAAUAAGGUUCUCUGUGAUAUACCUUUUACAUUACAAAUGAUAUUUAGUCUCGGGUAAUGGGUAUGUCCUAGGUAAAUUGGUAAAUCAAAUUUGUUGGUCCAAAAAAAUUCCUAGUCUUAUUAUAAAGGAAUUUUUUUACAAGUCUUCGACUGGAGGGCAGUGAAGAAGUAUAGCUUUCUUGGUAAUGACUAAUGGCCCAGUUUCUAUCCAUUCAUUCUUAAAAAAUGGUAAUACCACUAGCUGGCUGUGGUUUCGGACUUUCUCGACUUUGGAUAAGAAACAAGAAACUUGACACAUCACGUAACCGACCAAUGUGGUUGCUUGUUUCUAUCAAAGCCAACAGGCAUUUCUUCUUCAAGCGUGCCUGUACUGUGUGAAGCAUUCUUAUAUAAAUAUCGACCAUACCUUACCUAGUUCUUAACUUCAAAACAAUCCCAAGUUUCAGAACAAUAUCUCACUCUCUAAUUUCGGGAAGUACUUGAAGUUGAAGAUUUCUCUAUCUUUGAUCUAUACUUGUUGGAGAUUUCGAGUCAUGUCUGCGCUGGUGGAGAUGUGGAGUAAUGAGACCAAGGAGCAGAGCCAGAAGGAUCAAACCCUUUCGUCGAAUGCCUCGGCCUCAUCAAGCACUAAUGUUGGGGUUAACCAAGCGAAAGGAAGGAUGAACUCGUCAACCUUGUUAGCUCCUGUUUUCGACAGAGUCGUGCGUGUCAACUCACUUUUGACACACUAUUCGUCUGAAGCCUCAGUUUCCAUGCUUCUAGAGUGGUUUAAGGGCUAAACGAUGGGUACGUAGUUGUGUCAAUUUAUUUCUUGAGCUUUUUGCUUAUUAUCUUUUUCUUUGCUUGACUUUCAAAUCAAUGACAGUGCUAAGGUUUGUAACAAUGAAAGUACAUGUGGUAAAUUUAAGACCCCA
Rosa rugosa (rugosa rose) is the source of this 3378-nucleotide long non-coding RNA. RefSeq lists it as uncharacterized. The transcript has 3 exons. NCBI's taxonomy places the organism in Eukaryota, Viridiplantae, Streptophyta, Magnoliopsida, Rosales, Rosaceae. The record is from RefSeq and is a predicted model, not a curated record.